CCUUGGGUUCGGAAUAACACAGAGAAAUUUGUGCUAAUACCGGAUGAUGUCUUCGGACCAAAGAUUUAUCGCCCAGGGAUGAGCCCGCGUAGGAUUAGCUAGUUGGUGGGGUAAUGGCCUACCAAGGCGACGAUCCUUAGCUGGUCUGAGAGGAUGAUCAGCCACACUGGGACUGAGACACGGCCCAGACUCCUACGGGAGGCAGCAGUGGGGAAUAUUGGACAAUGGGCGAAAGCCUGAUCCAGCAAUGCCGCGUGAGUGAUGAAGGCCUUAGGGUUGUAAAGCUCUUUUACCAGGGAUGAUAAUGACAGUACCUGGAGAAUAAGCUCCGGCUAACUCCGUGCCAGCAGCCGCGGAAAUACGGAGGGAGCAAGCGUUGUUCGGAUUUACUGGGCGUAAAGGGCGCGUAGGCGGACACUACAAGUCAGAUGUGAAAUC
RNAcentral lists this ribosomal RNA (438 nucleotides) under uncultured bacterium. Its description in RNAcentral is "bacterial SSU rRNA". It matches the Rfam family "Bacterial small subunit ribosomal RNA", at positions 130 to 601 of the family's 1533-position model. The record is from RNAcentral.